Molecule: non-coding RNA, 24 nt
Filed under: Arabidopsis thaliana (thale cress)
Lineage: Eukaryota; Viridiplantae; Streptophyta; Magnoliopsida; Brassicales; Brassicaceae
Source: RNAcentral
UCAUUUUAUGCCACUUACUUAUGC